GAUCCUGACUCAGGACGAACGCUGGCGGCGUGCCUAAUACAUGCAAGUAGAACGCUGAAGAGAGGAGCUUGCUCUUCUUGGAUGAGUUGCGAACGGGUGAGUAACGCGUAGGUAACCUGCCUUGUAGCGGGGGAUAACUAUUGGAAACGAUAGCUAAUACCGCAUAACAAUGGAUGACCCACUGUCAUUUAUUUGUAAAGGGGACGAAAUAGCUCCACUACAAGAUGGACCUGCGUUGUUAUUAG
RNAcentral lists this ribosomal RNA (245 nucleotides) under uncultured bacterium. RNAcentral describes it as "partial 16S ribosomal RNA". It matches the Rfam family "Bacterial small subunit ribosomal RNA", at positions 15 to 244 of the family's 1533-position model. The record is from RNAcentral.